This 253-nucleotide ribosomal RNA is filed under the name uncultured bacterium. Its description in RNAcentral is "partial 16S ribosomal RNA". It matches the Rfam family "Bacterial small subunit ribosomal RNA", at positions 524 to 776 of the family's 1533-position model. The record is from RNAcentral.
GACGUAGGAGGCGAGCGUUGUCCGGAUUUACUGGGCGUAAAGCGCGCGCAGGCGGUCGCGCAGGUCAUCUGUGAAAGCACCCGGCUCAACCGGGCUGAUGCGGGUGAAACCGCGCGACUGGAGGGCGGUAGAGGGUGGUGGAAUUCCCGGUGUAGUGGUGAAAUGCGUAGAUAUCGGGAGGAACACCCGUAGCGAAGGCGGCCACCUGGGCCGGCCCUGACGCUGAGGCGCGAAGGCCAGGGGAGCGAACGGG